UACGGGGGGAGCGAGCGUUGUUCGGAAUCACUGGGCGUAAAGGGCGCGUAGGCGGUUGGAUAAGUCAGGGGUGAAAUGCCAGGGCUCAACCUUGGAAUUGCCUUUGAUACUGUCCGGCUAGAGGGCGGAAGAGGAUAGUGGAAUUCCUGGUGUAGCGGUGAAAUGCGUAGAUAUCAGGAAGAACACCGGUGGCGAAGGCGGCUAUCUGGUCCGCUUCUGACGCUGAGGCGCGAAAGCCAGGGGAG
Molecule: ribosomal RNA, 245 nt
Filed under: uncultured bacterium
Lineage: Bacteria
Description: partial 16S ribosomal RNA
Rfam family: Bacterial small subunit ribosomal RNA
Source: RNAcentral